AUACCUUUCUCGACCUUUUGGCUAAGAUCAAGUAUAAUAUCUGUUCUUAUCAGUGUAAUAUCUGAUAACCUGAGCCUACGGGUUCAGGGGGUGAGCUUUAUGUUUGUCCUGAUAUUAAUUUUUAAGGGAAAGGACCCAUGGUAGCUUGCUACUUAGGGUUCCAUUUGUGUCAUCCUUGCUUACACUUCGGUGAGGGUUUGGCACACCCACA
Molecule: small nuclear RNA, 211 nt
Filed under: Corchorus capsularis
Lineage: Eukaryota; Viridiplantae; Streptophyta; Magnoliopsida; Malvales; Malvaceae
Description: snRNA U2
Rfam family: U2 spliceosomal RNA
About the family: U2 is a small nuclear RNA (snRNA) component of the spliceosome (involved in pre-mRNA splicing).
Source: Rfam by way of RNAcentral